GAUGAACGCUGGCGGCGUGCCUAAUACAUGCAAGUCGAGCGAACAGACGAGGAGCUUGCUCCUCUGACGUUAGCGGCGGACGGGUGAGUAACAUGUGGAUAACCUACCUAUAAGACUGGGAUAACUUCGGGAAACCGGAGCUAAUACCGGAUAACAUGUUGAACCGCAUGGUUUAACAGUGAAAGACGGUCUUGCUGUCACUUAUAGAUGGAUCCGCGCCGCAUUAGCUAGUUGGUAAGGUAACGGCUUACCAAGGCAACGAUGCGUAGCCGACCUGAGAGGGUGAUCGGCCACACUGGAACUGAGACACGGUCCAGACUCCUACGGGAGGCAGCAGUAGGGAAUCUUCCGCAAUGGGCGAAAGCCUGACGGAGCAACGCCGCGUGAGUGAAGAAGGUCUUCGGAUCGUAAAACUCUGUUAUUAGGGAAGAACAAAUGUGUAAGUAACUAUGCACGUCUUGACGGUACCUAAUCAGAAAGCCACGGCUAACUACGUG
Molecule: ribosomal RNA, 497 nt
Filed under: uncultured bacterium
Lineage: Bacteria
Description: partial 16S ribosomal RNA
Rfam family: Bacterial small subunit ribosomal RNA
Source: RNAcentral